RNAcentral lists this ribosomal RNA (527 nucleotides) under uncultured bacterium. RNAcentral describes it as "bacterial SSU rRNA". It matches the Rfam family "Bacterial small subunit ribosomal RNA", at positions 355 to 873 of the family's 1533-position model. The record is from RNAcentral.
UGGGGAAUUUUGGACAAUGGGGGCAACCCUGAUCCAGCCAUGCCGCGUGAGUGAAGAAGGCCUUCGGGUUGUAAAGCUCUUUCGGCCGGAACGAAAUCGCAGCGUCGAAUAAACGUUGUGGAUGACGGUACCGGAAUAAGAAGCACCGGCUAACUACGUGCCAGCAGCCGCGGUAAUACGUAGGGUGCGAGCGUUAAUCGGAAUUACUGGGCGUAAAGCGUGCGCAGGCGGGUUUGUUAAGCCAGAUGUGAAAGCCCCGGGCUCAACCUGGGAACUGCGUUUGGGACUGGCAAGCUAGAGUACGGCAGAGGGGGGUGGAAUUCCACGUGUAGCAGUGAAAUGCGUAGAGAUGUGGAGGAACACCGAUGGCGAAGGCAGCCCCCUGGGCCGAUACUGACGCUCAGGCACGAAAGCGUGGGGAGCAAACAGGAUUAGAUACCCUGGUAGUCCACGCCCUAAACGAUGCGAACUAGUCGUUGGAGUAGCAAUACUUUAGUGACGCAGCUAACGCGUGAAGUUCGCCGCCC